This 201-nucleotide unclassified non-coding RNA is filed under the name Hevea brasiliensis (rubber tree). Lineage: Eukaryota; Viridiplantae; Streptophyta; Magnoliopsida; Malpighiales; Euphorbiaceae. The record is from RNAcentral.
GAAGGCGCUGUCCUCUACACUAUCAUUAAACGUUACGGUACAGAACAACGUCCUAGCGAACCCAAUCAUCUUCACCCUUUCUGGAGUCCUGAUAAAGGCAUGAAUUUCCACUUGCAGGAUCCACCAGUUGUUUCCAAAAAAUGGAAGCCCCCUUUACAUUUGCUGAACAGAGUAAGACUUAGAAUUCUAGCAGAGAAUAAA